GGGGAUUUAGCUCAGUGGUAGAGCGAUUGCUUAGGAAGCGCAAGGCCCUGGGUUCAGUCCCCAGCUCCG
Molecule: non-coding RNA, 69 nt
Organism: Rattus norvegicus (Norway rat)
Lineage: Eukaryota; Metazoa; Chordata; Mammalia; Rodentia; Muridae
Source: Rfam